GACCCCGUGGCGCAGUGGUUAGCGCUCCUGUUUUUGAAAUUGAUAACCCGGGCUCGAUUCCGACCGGUGCCA
Caenorhabditis brenneri is the source of this 72-nucleotide non-coding RNA. The record is from the annotation of a GenBank genome assembly. NCBI's taxonomy places the organism in Eukaryota, Metazoa, Nematoda, Chromadorea, Rhabditida, Rhabditidae.